AUUGAACGCUGGCGGAAUGCUUUACACAUGCAAGUCGAGCGGCAGCGCGGGGGCAACCCUGGCGGCGAGCGGCGAACGGGUGAGUAACAUAUCGGAACGUACCCCGUCGUGGGGGAUAACACAGCGAAAGCUGUGCUAAUACCGCAUACGACCUGAGGGUGAAAGCGGGGGAUCGCAAGACCUCGCGCGAUGGGAGCGGCCGAUAUCGGAUUAGCUUGUUGGUGAGGUAAAGGCUCACCAAGGCGACGAUCCGUAGCUGGUCUGAGAGGACGACCAGCCACACUGGAACUGAGACACGGUCCAGACUCCUACGGGAGGCAGCAGUGGGAAUUUGGACAAUGGGGGCAACCCUGAUCCAGCCAUUCCGCGUGAGUGAAGAAGG
RNAcentral lists this ribosomal RNA (382 nucleotides) under uncultured bacterium. RNAcentral describes it as "bacterial SSU rRNA". It matches the Rfam family "Bacterial small subunit ribosomal RNA", at positions 29 to 414 of the family's 1533-position model. The record is from RNAcentral.